This 460-nucleotide ribosomal RNA is filed under the name uncultured bacterium. RNAcentral describes it as "partial 16S ribosomal RNA". It matches the Rfam family "Bacterial small subunit ribosomal RNA", at positions 338 to 795 of the family's 1533-position model. The record is from RNAcentral.
CCUACGGUGGACAGCAGUGAGGAAUAUUGGUCAAUGGCCGGAAGGCUGAACCAGCCAUGCCGCGUGAAGGUCAGUGCCCUAUGGGCGUUAAACUUCUUUUGUGCGGGAGCAAUAAUGGUCACGUGUGGCCAGACGAGAGUACCGUACGAAUAAGCAUCGGCUAACUCCGUGCCAGCAGGCGCGGUAAUACGGGGGAUGCAACCGUUAUCCGGAUUUAAUGGGUUUAAAGGGUGCGUAGGCUGUGAGGGAAGUCAGCGGUGAAAUGCCCCCGCUCAACGGGGUGAAGUGCCAUUGAGACUGCCUAGCUGGAAUGCGGAUGCCGUGGGAGGAAUGUGUGGUGUAGCGGUGAAAUGCAUAGAUAUCACACAGAACACCGAUUGCGAAGGCAUCUCACGAAUCCGCGAUUGACGCUGAUGCACGAAAGCGUGGAGAUCAAACAGGAGUAGAUACCCCAGUAGUC